RNAcentral lists this ribosomal RNA (305 nucleotides) under uncultured bacterium. Its description in RNAcentral is "bacterial SSU rRNA". It matches the Rfam family "Bacterial small subunit ribosomal RNA", at positions 333 to 636 of the family's 1533-position model. The record is from RNAcentral.
UUGUGCCUACGGGAGGCAGCAGUGAGGAAUAUUGGUCAAUGGGCGGGAGCCUGAACCAGCCAAGCCGCGUGAAGGAAGAAGGCGCCAGGCGUCGUAAACUUCUUUUGUCGGGGAACAAAGGGCGCCACGCGUGGCGUUGUGAGUGUACCCGAAGAAAAAGCAUCGGCUAACUCCGUGCCAGCAGCCGCGGUAAUACGGAGGAUGCGAGCGUUAUCCGGAUUUAUUGGGUUUAAAGGGUGCGUAGGCGGACUGGAAAGUCAGCGGUAAAAUCGAGAGGCUCAACCUCUUUCCGCCGUUGAAACUGG